UAGGGAAUCUUCCGCAAUGGGCGAAAGCCUGACGGAGCAACGCCGCGUGAGUGAAGAAGGAUUUCGGUUCGUAAAGCUCUGUUGCUAGGGAAGAAUGAUUAUGUAGUAACUAUACACAGUAGAGACGGUACCUAACCAGAAAGCCACGGCUAACUACGUGCCAGCAGCCGCGGUAAUACGUAGGUGGCAAGCGUUGUCCGGAAUUAUUGGGCGUAAAGCGCGCGCAGGUGGUUUAAUAAGUCUGAUGUGAAAGCCCACGGCUCAACCGUGGAGGGUCAUUGGAAACUGUUAAACUUGAGUGCAGGAGAGAAAAGUGGAAUUCCUAGUGUAGCGGUGAAAUGCGUAGAGAUUAGGAGGAACACCAGUGGCGAAGGCGGCUUUUUGGCCUGUAACUGACACUGAGGCGCGAAAGCGUGGGGAGCAAACAGGAUUAGAUACCCUGGUAGUCCACGCCGUAACGAUGAGUGCUAAGUGUUAGACCCUUUCCGGGGUUUAGUGCCGUAGCUAACGCAUUAAGCACUCCGCCUGGGGAGUACGACCGCAAGGUUG
This 549-nucleotide ribosomal RNA is filed under the name uncultured bacterium. RNAcentral's name for it is "bacterial SSU rRNA". It matches the Rfam family "Bacterial small subunit ribosomal RNA", at positions 355 to 896 of the family's 1533-position model. The record is from RNAcentral.